GGCUAUGGAGGCUCGCUUAAUGAGGAGCUGCGAGGCCCCCUGCUACUUGCAGUGGGAUGAAGAGCUGAUCAGCCUAACCCGCAGGUGCAUUUCAGAUAAGCCAGCAGACAUGGGUCUUAAGAAUGUAGCUCCUAGACAGCAGCAGGCUGAGCAGAAAUACAGGUCACCUGGUCCUAGGAUUCCCAACUGUGGUGGAGAAUCCCAGCUGGUUAAGGUAAGCCGAGGCAAUUGCCAUCAGGUCUUAGCAGUGCUAUGCAAUGUGUUCCUGUUCAUUCCUUGUUGUUGUUUUGUGUUGUGUGUGUUUCUUUUAGGUGGCAAAUCCGAGCUGGGUAAGGUAAGCAGAGGCAAUUGCCAUCAGGUCUUGCCUGUGCUAUGCAGUGUGUUCCUUUUCAUUGGGGGUGUUGUUGGGCCUCGUGGGGUGCAAGGUCUCCAUCUUAUUGAUUCUACCCCUGUUUAGGGGUGCCAGUCGGUCUGGCCUCAUAACUCCUGAGGUCUUGGCAAUGUCCUAGGCUAAUGCCUCCACAGGCGUUCCUUUGCCUCUGUCACCUGCUGGAGACUUGACUUCCCAGAGCUGUCUGCCUCUUGACAGCUCUCAGCUGUCUGCCCCUCAUCACAGGCCAGGCCAUUUUAUAAAACCCUGAAAUCUCACAGCAACUCUCAUGAGACCUGGCGAUCUCACUAUUGAUCACACGAGAGUUUGGAGUGUGAUCUUGCAAUAUGCUAACAACGUCCCAUGAGACCACAUCAGUGUCGGGUGACACUAGGUCACCCGACCACGGGAGCCAGUAGGGCCUGCCGAUCUCAGCAGGUGGGGGUUGGGACACGUCUGAGGGCGCAGCAUUCCUGCCCUGGUUGGGAUCGUUCCCACCGUAGCCCUCUGCACAUGGGAGGUGAGGCCUAGAGAUGUUGGGACCCUGACAGGUGUGUACGAAUGGUUCAAUAGCAAACUGGUCUGCUGCGAACCAGGCUGGUUCGAUGGUUUGAUCAUGAACCAGACAGGCCUUCAGGAAAGGUGGUCCAGUCCAAGAUCAAGCCAAAUCAGCCCUGACCAGGAGGACAUGGCUCCCAUUUGGCCGUCCUCUGUGAGAAGUGGCUACAUGCAUGGGAUGGCCAAUGGGGUCAGUGUGGUGAUGCCGCUACUUAUGCGCCACACAUGCUUCCUUCCUCCAACUUUGCAGGCUUUGCGGCUCCCGCCCACCCUCCCUAGUUCAGUGAGAGAUUAGCUGGUCGCUUAUGGGCCGAGUAGGAAUUUUUGGUCUUCACCUGAUUGGCUUUGUGUGGAGAUUUUUUCGCCUACUCCUCACUGAGUGUCUUUUAAAGGGAAUAACCCCCCUUUUAGGGGUGGGAGUCUGGUUGCAGGUUAAGUGGUCACUUUGGCAGGUGAGUGUGGGCUUUGGAGGUUAAGACCUCGAUUGGUGCUCAGCCAUAGGUACCUUUCAGGUAGAGAUGGUUUCAUGUAACAAUCUUUCAGGGUUUUGUGGCCCAGGGGUGUCUGAGGUGGCCAGAGCCUAAGGGGUAUACUCAUGGGUCAAAUGGGCCGUAAGCCAGAAUUUGGCUUUUAAAAAGCCAAAUCUUGUCACCUAGCGAAUGAACCACUUUUAGGGCACUGUUUAGCUGAUCCACUCAGAGCUUUGGGGCUGGAGGGGUAGUGACCAGUGUUUCCUCUAACAGGGAUUCCCAGAUGUUGACUACAACUCCCAGAAUCCAAAGCUACAAUGGAUUUUGCCUGGGGAUUAUAGGAGUUGUAGUCCACAACAUCUGGGGAUCCAUGUUGGAGGGAACAGUGGUGGUGACCCUGGUGGCUACCUCCUUGACACAGUAAACUGUGUGGCUUGGUGGGGCUAUGCUGAGGUUUCAUAUGGCAUCUGCCAAGCCUGGCUGCUUUGCCCAACAGUGAGAGGAGCUCAACCCUCGCUAGGAGGCUGUGCCUACCCAAAAAGGGGAUUGGAGUUGCCCACACUCUAGUUUAGGGAGGUUAUAGUUAUAUCUGUUGCAGAUCUCUGCAUAGUUUAUAGUUAAUAAAGUGGCCCUAGUUUUCAUCCAUA
Long non-coding RNA from Hemicordylus capensis (graceful crag lizard), 2045 nucleotides. RefSeq lists it as uncharacterized. The record is from RefSeq and is a predicted model, not a curated record. The transcript has 2 exons. Lineage: Eukaryota; Metazoa; Chordata; Lepidosauria; Squamata; Cordylidae.